GCCUUGUCGUUCCGGGGGCCUCAUAGGGUUUCCGGUACCAAAGGUCGCUGGUUCGAUUCCAGUCGGGGGCACCA
Molecule: transfer RNA, 74 nt
Filed under: Microbacterium proteolyticum
Lineage: Bacteria; Bacillati; Actinomycetota; Actinomycetes; Micrococcales; Microbacteriaceae
Description: tRNA-Ser
Source: RNAcentral